AUAACGGUCCUAAGGUAGCGAAAUUCCUUGUCAGGUAAGUUCUGACCCGCACGAAUGGCGUAAUGAUUUGGGCACUGUCUCAACAGCCCGCCCGGCGAAAUUGUAGUACUGGUGAAGAUGCCAGUUACCCGCAACUAGACGGAAAGACCCCAUGGAGCUUUACUGCAGCUUAAUACUGAAAUUCGGUAGUACAUGUACAGGAUAGGUGGGAGACUGAGAAAUACAGGCGUCAGCUUGUAUGGAGUCGCUGUUGGGAUACCACUCUUGUACUGCUGGGUUUCUAACCUGCGGCCGUGAAUCCGGUCGGGGGACACUGUUAGGCGGGCAGUUUGACUGGGGCGGUCGCCUCCAAAAGAGUAACGGAGGCGCUCAAAGGUUGGCUCAGCACGGACGGAAAUCGUGCAAUGAGUGUAAACGCAUAAGCCAGCCUAACUGCGAGACCGACGGGUCGAGCAGUAACGAAAGUUGGAGUUAGUGAUCCGGUGGUAUGUGAGUGGAAAUGCCAUCGCUCAACGGAUAAAAGCUACCCUGGGGAUAACAGGCUGAUCUCCCCCAAGAGUCCACAUCGACGGGGAGGUUUGGCACCUCGAUGUCGGCUCAUCGCAUCCUGGGGCUGAAUUCGGUCCCAAGGGUUUGGCUGUUCGCCAAUUAAAGCGGUACGCGAGCUGGGUUCAGAACGUCGUGAGACAGUUCGGUCCCUAUCUGUCGUGGGCGCAGGAUAUUUGAUGGGAGCUGUUCCUAGUACGAGAGGACCGGAGCGGACGUACCUCUGGCGCACCAGUUGUUCUGCCAAGAGCAUAGCUGGGCAACUAUGUACGGAUCGGAUAAACGCUGAAAGCAUCUAAGCGUGAAGCCGACCCAAAGAUAAGAUAUCCCAUUGUUUCAAACAAGUAAGACCCCUUGAAGACUACAAGGUUGAUAGGCACGAUGUGUAAGUGGAGUGAUCCAUUCAGCAAGCGUGUACUAAUAGGUCGAGGGCUUGACCAC
Molecule: ribosomal RNA, 987 nt
Filed under: human gut metagenome
Description: bacterial LSU rRNA
Rfam family: Bacterial large subunit ribosomal RNA
Source: RNAcentral